This is a long non-coding RNA of Seriola aureovittata, 4168 nucleotides long. RefSeq lists it as uncharacterized. The transcript is spliced from 4 exons. NCBI's taxonomy places the organism in Eukaryota, Metazoa, Chordata, Actinopteri, Carangiformes, Carangidae. The record is from RefSeq and is a predicted model, not a curated record.
CUGAGCGCGCCCACUGCAGAGCCCGAGGACAGACUCAGCCUCCAGACUAGCUGGAGCUACAGCGCCGGAGCCGGCCCGAGGACCAGAUCAACUGCAGAGUCGAGCUGAGGAAACCUGAUCGGCUCCACAUCAGCUGCAGACACCGCCUGGAGGCCGGUUCAGAAGGUGGAGGACUGGGGGUAAAAAAAAUAAAUAAAUAGUCUUACCGAUCAAAAAAUGGUCUUAACUUCAGAACAAAACCAGAUUUUGCAGAGAGGCGGGAAACAAGACGUGCUGAGCUUGAAGUAGCGGCUUCGUGUGACGGCGUUCAGCAUCACAGCAGGAAACGAAGGACGCGUUCGAAGGAGCCGUCGACAAGCGACAGUGUAGUCGCGCCGCUGUGACGCAGUCCGUCUUCAGAAAAGGCUCCUAUAUGUCAUUCUGACGGGCAACGGACCAACAAACAGGUCAUUAGAAGACGUAGUGAAACGAGGACGAGCUGAAUUCAAACCGGAGGCACACACUUUCUGUAAAUCUGCGUUUCUGCAGACGUUGCCGGAGGGAAUUACCCGAAGUUCCAGAAACAGAAGCAGAUUUAUUGUGGGACGUCAAGAAACAUAAAAACAGAGGAAGAGAAAAGAAGAACAGUGAACAAACCUGAACGUCUGCAUGUGAAUAUAAACACAGAGCUCAGUGGUCGAACUGCGUGUCGUUAUAUGACCUGAUGAUAAAAAUCUGCUUUACAUUAUUACUAAUGGAGGGAAUAAAACAUGUAAAAAUCAAACACGCUGCAUGAGAAGACUCCAGAGUUCAUGUUCCUGCACAGCCAGAGUCACCUGCACAUUCACCUGCCCUCGACCUGAGAACAGGCCUAAUCAGCCAAAACAGGAAACACCUGUGUGGAGCUGCAGUCUGCUCCUUGGUAGAUGAAAGUAUUCAUCCAUGUGUAUCUGUCACUGCAGGUAUUUACAGUAGUUAUUCACCUGGCUCGGAGAUCAACAGAGAAAUGAGUGGAAACGUGCAGCCGGACCGGACUGCAGCAGCUGAAACAGACUCGCUGACGCAGACUUCCUGUGGUGAAAAACAGGCAGGAGAGGAAAAACAAACGAGCUCGCAAACAGUCGGUGUUUCCUGAAUGAAGGGUCAGCUGUAACCCUGGCUGAACGCUGGACAGCCUCAGGAUUUCACAGGUCAAAGGUCAGUCAGAACGGAGUUAAUCCACGACCAGAAGUGAAUAUGUCUCGCCCUGCUCCUCGGCGACAUGAAUGGAGAGAUAAAAUCCGCUCUGACAGCAGCUUUGAGUGAAGGCAUGUUGGUUUAUACAGAUCACACGGUGUUUAGUGAUUCCACUUCUUCACUGCAUGAGAAUGUGUGUCUGCUUCUCUCUGCCUGAUGUACAUUAGAUCAUCUUCACUUUGAGUCAUCGUGUAGAAUAAUCCUGUUCUACCCUAUUCAGACAUUUACAGACAAAAUACACAACUCAGUGUUUGUUUUUUCCCCCAGUGGUGCUCGACAGUUUUGACUUGUGGCUUGUGCUACAAAAUAGAGAUUAAAAGCAAAUAUGAAGUUUAUUGAUUUCAGGUAAACUCCCGGUCUGUCCCAGCUGAUUAUCAGGUUUUAAAAACAUGCAGAAAGACCUCGUGGUUCUACUCACUGCUAACUUUCUGUAUAAUCACACACUGAAGUUCAACAGAGGAAGCACAGAGAUGAAGUUCAUCCAAGAAGAAAAGCUAAAAUGUCAAAUGAAUAACUAAAUAAAUAAAGUCUUGCCACCACUGCUCACGUCUGCUGGUCCUGCAGCAGCAGGGCGCCUGGUCAGAAGCUGCCGCACUGUUUAAAAACAUCAGUAAUGAAAAGUGACGCAAAUAACCGGCUGACCUCUGCAGCUCCGCCCCCCGGUUCAGCCCGCAGCCCUCCUCCGCUGCUGCAGGACGCGCUGAUUGGUCAGAAGUGGCAGAAUGUUAAUGACGUGUAAAAACCAGAGCGGGAAGAGUUUAACAGCAGCUCCGUUCUCCUGUUAAUGACGUGAUUCGUUAUCAGAGUCUUCUCUCUCUCUCGCGUUGGGACAUGAGCCACGAGCACAGACGUGAUCUCGGAUCAUCCAUCGAACUGCAUGAGGAAAUAUUCUCCGUCGUACUAUCAGCGUGGACUUGUAUGUAAAGUGAUAAACGUUUUGUUGUUGUUGUUUUUGUUGUUCUCGUUAUUCUGAGGCUGCGUUGUUAAUUUGUUUGCUGGUUUCUAAAUAUUGCACAACAGAUUUAAUGAGCUCUGGGCCUCACAGCGUUUUUCUCUCAGGGUUUGUAACUUUUAGAAAAGUUAAUAACAAAUAAACUUUUAUACUCUAUUUACUACGUCCACUGGCAUGUAAUAUACUUCUAUUUGUUCAAUUAGUAUUAUUAUUGUUAUUAUUAACUUACCUUUGCUAUGGAGGUUCUAUGAAAUUUACAGUAAAUUAGGCCACAGGUAAAGGAACAAAUGAUUCUUUUCUGGUUUUCAUGCACAAUCUUUUCUAAGGAUUUCUUUUAAAGCGCCAUAUUUUCUUCUUCUUCUGUGUUUUAUUUUGAAGUGUUGAUCCAUAAGAAGAUAUAUUUAUGGUUUUAAGAACCAAAAACCAUCUAAGUGUAGUUUUACAUCUCCUCUCUCAGGCUUCUCUCUGGAGCUCUAGGAACAACAGGUCUGUGAGCCAAUCAGAAGAGAGGAGGCUCCGAGACUCUCCUCUGAUUGGCUGACUGUUUUCUGAGUGAUCCAAUAAAGAUAUUGCAGAUUUCAGGUAAAAUACAAAUCCUGCAACGUUAGGUAAAAACACUAAGAGAAACCAAAUCCUGUAAAGGUUUGGAUGGUGGGUCCAGGUGGGCGGGGCUUGGUGACUGCUUUGUUGUGACAUCACAAAGUUCCAGAAGUCCUGACGGCUGGUUUUAAGGCUCAGUUUCUGAAUACAGGCUGUGUGCAUUUCUCUGUGGACUGAGGCUUUGAUACUUUCACAGUAUUAAUAUAGAAGCUAGAGCUGAUCUAUAAUCACACUACACAUGGACACACACCUUUACACUGGAGGAGCUUUAAGAAGCUUUUAAAAACUCACCUGGUUUGUGCACUUUAUCCUGUAAUGUGUAAUUUUAUUGUUUUUAUAUUCUCAUCUCCUGUUUUCUAACUGUUUAAAUGUUUCCUCUGUACAGCACCUUGUAACCCUGGUUUGAAAAGGUGCUUUAUAAAUAAAUUUUACUUGAUAUCUUGACAUAGAAAUACUUUAAACAUUUUCACAGUUUUCCCAUGAGCUUCAUAAGAUCUCAGGCGUUAUUGAUCAUCUGUCACAAUUUGUAUUUUGGUGUAAAUUUGUGUCCACGUGCAGAAAUAAAAUUCUAAUAUUUUGUUGUUUUAAUAAUGUCAAAUAUUUUGAAAUUGUUGGCUGUUGUUAUGGUAACGUAAAGUAGGUUGGUGGUGCAGAGUGAAAUAUCUCAACAGUUAGUGGAUGGACUGUCAUGAAAUGAUAUUUUAUUCAUGUGUCUCAGGAUGAAUUGUAAUUCAGUGCCGUCAUCAGGUAAAAACGUAUACCUGCCCAGAGUUUAGUGCUAAUUAGCAGAUGUUAGCAUGCAAUAUGUGCAGUGCAAUAACUAAAAUAGUACACAUGGUAAAAUCAGCAAUGCUGAUGUCUGUAUAUUCUUACAGGGAAACACACCGGCGGCGAGCAUCAAAUGCAAACACCUGCACCUGGUGUUUAAUAUGUCAACGCACACACUAGAAAUAUCAGGUCAUCUCAUGAUGAUGCAUCAACAGCUCGUCCUAUUUACUAUUCUGAUGCAUGGAAACUCCUUAGAAAAGCAUUUUUUCUCCACAGCUACUGUAAACUCUGGACACUGGUGCAUGUUGCACACGCACAGUGACGGACCGGGGGAGGGUCCAAUCUCCCUAAAAUACAUUUAAAAUAUAUAAAAAUGUCACCCAGAUACUGAAGGCUUAAUGUGGCCCAGGUCUAAUGCAAUUAAAAUGAAUCCUGCUGACGUCUGUCUCUGCCUUUUUCCUAAAGCUAUCUUCUUGCAGAUGCAGGCAGAUUUGAACGAACACCACAUUUGCACGGUGAUGUUUCAGAUUCCUCUGCGAGACCUCUCGCCGCUGCCGCAGCUCAUCGCCAUAAAAACAGAUGGCUCUCCUGCAGACCAGCAUCCCCGCCGCUUUAGCAGACGAUCGUAAAAUG